GACGAGCCACACAAACGUUAUUCGGAAUUACUGGGCUUAAAGGGUGCGUAGGCGGUGCGGCAAGUUGGGUGUGAAAUCCCUCGGCUCAACCGAGGAAUUGCGCUCAAAACUACCGUGCUAGAGGGAGAUAGAGGAGUGCGGAACUUAGGGUGGAGCGGUGAAAUGCGUUGAUAUCCUAGGGAACACCGGUGGCGAAAGCGGCACUCUGGAUCUCAUCUGACGCUGAUGCACGAAAGCUAGGGUAGCAAACGGG
RNAcentral lists this ribosomal RNA (253 nucleotides) under uncultured bacterium. RNAcentral's name for it is "partial 16S ribosomal RNA". It matches the Rfam family "Bacterial small subunit ribosomal RNA", at positions 524 to 776 of the family's 1533-position model. The record is from RNAcentral.